CAAUAGCGUAUAUUAAAGUUGUUGCGGUUAAAAAGCUCGUAGUUGGAUUUCUGUUGAGGACGACCGGUCCGCCCUCUGGGUGAGUAUCUGGCUCGGCCUUGGCAUCUUCUUGGAGAACGUAACUGCACUUGACUGUGUGGUGCGGUAUCCAGGACUUUACUUGAGGAAAUUAGAGUGUUUCAAGCAGGCGUACGCCUUGAAUACAUUAGCAUGGAAUAAUAAGAUAGGACCUCGGUUCUAUUUUGUUGGUUUCUAGAGCUGAGGUAAUGAUUAAUAGGAUAGUUGGGGCAUUCAUAUUCCAAUGUCAGAGGUGAAAUUCUUGGAUUAUCGGAAGAUGAACUUUCUGGACGAAAGCAUUUGCCAAGGAUGUUUUCAUUAAUCAAGAACGAAAGUUAGGGGAUCGAAGAUGAUCAGAUACC
This 419-nucleotide ribosomal RNA is filed under the name uncultured eukaryote. RNAcentral's name for it is "SSU rRNA". It matches the Rfam family "Eukaryotic small subunit ribosomal RNA", at positions 592 to 1016 of the family's 1831-position model. The record is from RNAcentral.